GAUGAAGAACGCAGCGAAAUGCGAUAAGUAAUGUGAAUUGCAGAAUUCAGCGAAUCAUCGAAUCUUUGAACGCACAUUGCGCCCUCUGGUAUUCCGGGGGGCAUGCCUGUUCGAGCGUCAUUAUAACCACUCAAGCUCUCGCUUGGUAUUGGGGUUCGCGGUUUCGCGGCCCCUAAAAUCAGUGGCGGUGCCUGUCGGCUCUACGCGUAGUAAUACUCCUCGCGAUUGAGUCCGGUAGGUCUACUUGCCAGCAACCCCUAAUUUUUUUAAGGUUGACCUCGGAUCAGGUAGGGAUACCCGCUGAACUUAAGCAUAUCAAUAAGCGGAGGA
This 330-nucleotide unclassified non-coding RNA is filed under the name soil metagenome. RNAcentral's name for it is "partial contains 5.8S ribosomal RNA, internal transcribed spacer 2, and large subunit ribosomal RNA". The stretch from base 1 to 120 matches the Rfam family "5.8S ribosomal RNA", at positions 35 to 154 of the family's 154-position model. The record is from RNAcentral.